AGCCAAAAAGUUGAGCCAGAAUCAAGUGGACCCAUGGGCUAGCCAAAAGGAGCUAGGGUAGAGCCAAAAGGUGCCAGACUCAGAUGGGCCACCCAAUGCAAUGCCAAGUGACAACUAUUCUUGUGAAGUUUGAGUCAAACCUAUUGGUACUUGAGGGGGAGUAUUGGACUAUGGUUUGUGGGAACAAAUCCCACAUCUGUGGU
RNAcentral lists this unclassified non-coding RNA (203 nucleotides) under Hevea brasiliensis (rubber tree). Lineage: Eukaryota; Viridiplantae; Streptophyta; Magnoliopsida; Malpighiales; Euphorbiaceae. The record is from RNAcentral.